AAAAGUUUAAGGCCGCGAAAUGAAACAAAUGGAAAGUGACACUGAAAAAUUUAAAGAACUUCUUUAGAGUUUUGAUUGAUGCCAUAACUGUAGAUACGGGGACUGGAUCAGCUGAAGUCCAGAUUAGGAAGGCCCUACAGCUGCAAAAA
This is a long non-coding RNA of Drosophila miranda, 149 nucleotides long. RefSeq lists it as uncharacterized. Lineage: Eukaryota; Metazoa; Arthropoda; Insecta; Diptera; Drosophilidae. The record is from RefSeq and is a predicted model, not a curated record. The transcript is spliced from 2 exons.